Molecule: ribosomal RNA, 1542 nt
Filed under: Inocybe leiocephala
Lineage: Eukaryota; Fungi; Basidiomycota; Agaricomycetes; Agaricales; Inocybaceae
Description: eukaryotic LSU rRNA
Source: RNAcentral
ACUUGAACAGGCUGUUGCUGGCCCUCUCUUGUGAGGGGGACAUGUGCACGCUUGUCAUCUUUAUCUCUCCAACUGUGCACACAUUGUAGACCUGGAGUCGUCUUUGUUGAUUCAUUCGAGUUGGCACUGCAGCGCUUUUCAAAACAAAAAAAAGUCUGCUCUGCCUUUUGCAUUUCCAGGUCUAUGUCAUUUUCACAACCUCAAUGUGUUUAGAAUGUCGAAUCAGGUCCUUUUUUGUACCUAUAAAAGUUAAAUAUACAACUUUCAGCAACGGAUCUCUUGGCUCUCGCAUCGAUGAAGAACGCAGCGAAAUGCGAUAAGUAAUGUGAAUUGCAGAAUUCAGUGAAUCAUCGAAUCUUUGAACGCAUCUUGCGCUCCUUGGUAUUCCGAGGAGCAUGCCUGUUUGAGUGUCAUUUCAAGUUCUCAACUGCAUCAAUUUCUCGUUGAUGUGGCUUGGAUGUGGGGGAUUGAUUAUUGCAGGCUUCUGUCAAAGGAGGUCGGCUCCCCUGAAAAGUAUUAGUGGUAUCUGAGCRGAAGAAACUACUAUAGGUGUGAUAACUAUCUAUGCCUUCAGUAUGCUGCAUAAAAACAGAUUGCACUGCUUCUAACCUAGUGAAAACCUCUCUCUAAACUAACAAGGAUUCCCCUAGUAACUGCGAGUGAAGCGGGAAAAGCUCAAAUUUGAAAUCUGGCGGUUUUUUGACUGUCCGAGUUGUAAUCUAGAGAAGUGUUACCUGUGCUGAACCGUGUACAAGUCUUCUGGAAUGGAGCAUCAUAGAGGGUGAGAAUCCCGUCUUUGACAUGGACUACCAGUACAUUAUGGUGCGCUCUCGAAGAGUCGAGUUGUUUGGGAAUGCAGCUCAAAAUGGGUGGUAAAUGCCAUCUAAAGCUAAAUAUUGGCGAGAGACCGAUAGCGAACAAGUACCGUGAGGGAAAGAUGAAAAGAACUUUGGAAAGAGAGUUAAACAGUACGUGAAAUUGCUGAAAGGGAAACGCUUGAAGUCAGUCACGUUGGCUAGAAAUCAGCCCUGCUCUUGCUCGGUGUACUUUCUGGUUGAUGGGUCAGCAUCAAUUUCGACCAUUGGAUAAAGUCUCUGGGAAUGUGGCAUCUUCGGAUGUGUUAUAGCCCAGGGUCGCAUGCAGUGGUUGGGAUUGAGGAACUCAGCACGCCGCAAGGCCGGGUUUCGACCACGUUCGUGCUUAGGAUGCUGGCAUAAUGGCUUUAAUCGACCCGUCUUGAAACACGGACCAAGGAGUCUAACAUGCCUGCGAGUGUUUGGGUGGAAAAACCCAUGCGCGGAAUGAAAGUGAAAGUUGAGAUCCCCCUCGAAAGGGAGCAUUGACGCCCGGACCAGAGCUUUUGUGACGGAUCCGCGGUAGAGCAUGUAUGUUGGGACCCGAAAGAUGGUGAACUAUGCCUGAAUAGGGUGAAGCCAGAGGAAACUCUGGUGGAGGCUCGUAGCGAUUCUGACGUGCAAAUCGAUCGUCAAAUUUGGGUAUAGGGGCGAAAGAGUAAUCGAACCAUCUAGUAGCUGGUUCCUG